CCACAGCACGACCUGCACAUUCGUGUUUCCUCAUAUCGUAGAAACACAGAACGUAACUCCACCUGUGUCCCCCUAGAGUUCGUGUAUUUUUCUUUAGGACGCACGGGACGCUCUGGUAAAAUAAUCCUCCCCCGGAGGGUCUCGACGACUCUUCAGCUCGGAGGCCCCUGGGCAGGCCCCUCCUAGUGCCUUUCCAUCAUUCCCGACGGAGCGUCCCAUGCCCCUGAACCCCGGCACGACCACGGCCACGGCCACGGCCACGGCCACGGCCACUCUCUCUCCUCCCACUCUGCCAGCCCCUAGAAUGAGUUCCGAUUUCCCAUCGUGGGCUGUAGUCUCCAGCACGGGGCCCUUCGCUUCCUCCUCCACCCUCUCUCUUCCUCCGAGGUCUCCUGGACCCCUUCUGAGCGCCAGUGCCCGACCUCCGGGGGUUGUGCCCCCGCCGAGCUCCCAGCCCCGUGUCGGAGCAAGGGACCAAAGGAGCCGGUGACAAGGCCACACCACAAGCCCGCCUCACCGUUGAAGGAAGCUGGAGGAUGCCAGCCACCGGCGGCUCUCCACGUUGGCCUGGAACCUGACGAUGCCCUCAGUUCAACCGGGCAGGCGCCGGCGGAUUGCACGGAGCGCGGGAUGUAGGCCCCAAGAGGAAGGGCUUCUGUCUAUCUGUUCACAGCUGGGUCCAGGUGCCGGAAGCCUGCCUGGCUCACGGAAGCGCUAAAACGUCUGUUGAGUGAACGAAGAAGCCCCUGGUCUAAUGGCAGGUGAGGUGCAGCCCUUGUCUUCACUCAGCAAGAGCCCUCGCAGAGGUGAGACCCCAGAUCCCCAGACACGGGGGCAGAGUGCUGUCCAGGAAGUCUGCAGAAGAUUCUGAGGGUCACAGUGGAGCUGGUGUGAAAGUGGACUUGUGUGUGUGUGUGGGGGGGGCGGUGGUUGGGGGCUGCAGGAGAGCGUUCUAGGCACACAAAGCAGGGACACUUCAGGCCUUGGGGACGUGGUGGCCAGACCCCUCCAGAGCCCGCCGAGUGCUGGUGCUGCUGUGGUGUUACAGCGGAGGGGACUGGGGGGUCCCUGGUGCCCACACUAAGGACCGCAGGCCUGACCCCAUGGCAGAGAGCCCCCUGCUGUGAUUAAGUCAGGUGCACACGGUCCUGAGGUGCACUUGGAGGAAAGAUUGGCUUGGAGCCAGUGGGGGGGGGGGUGUCUACGUGAGGAAUCAGGGGGCUCUGAACCAAGUCCCGCUGGAAAGGAGAAAAUGAGUGUAAUUCAGACACUUUCUGACUGACUGAGGGCAGCAGAACGGAGGACAAGAAAGUUCCAAGUUAAUGCUGGGGUUUCCUGGAGGCAGAGGGGAGGGGACGUUCACGGAGGGGGACAGCAGGCCUCCACGGGAAGCAGAGGCCGGACACCAUAAUCACUCACAGAUGAUGCAGGGUGUGGGGAGGGGGACCCGAGUACCAAGGGGCCAGGGCCCUUCCCCGCGCUGGGGUGCUGGCGGCCCCAAGGUCACUCCCGGACCUCACUGUUCAUGUCUUCCCCUGAGUCCAUUCGCGGGCCCUCUUCCCAUGGUGCUUCAGGCAAGGGGGUCUCCCCGACGCCGGCCCUCAGCUCUGGGGUGGGGGGAGCGCCCUCGGCCGUGAGGGAGACCCCUGUCCCUGCCCUCCCGGCUUGUCCUCUCCCAACCGCUCCUUCCCACCCACUGGGCGCUGACUCUCCGGGGUGGGGGUGGGGGUGGGGGGGGCCCUUGGCCCCACCGCCCAGGGUCUGCAGCGAGAAGGGCGUGGGCAGAGCUGGAUCCUGUUGACGAAGCUUUGGGCUGAUGGCUGGGGUUCGUGGAGUCCAGAGCCGAGGGCCAAGAAAGAAUUCUUGAAGACGUCUUUGGUGUAUAAGCAAAGCAUCAGCAUCAAGACAGCAGGGAGUCCCUGGACUUGAGGCUGUGAUGCGAUUGCCUCUUUCUGGAAAACUGGUGGAGACCUUAUCCGUUUAACCUUCCGUUUUUUGUCCUUUCCUGGUUUGGGGGGACGGGGGUGCCGUCAGCCUGCCCCACGCUCCCUCAUCACAGUGAGCGAUGCGCACACACGCUUCUGUGUCUCUGGACGGGACCGAGCCCUCGGAGGGCGGACGUCUGCUCCUUCCCGUGUCCUCGGCCGCCACCGGGCCGGUACUCGCUGGCAUCGACCCAGUCACCGAACAGGUGACCGCCACCCUUCACCCAGCUCCAGGCCAAGACGGGGGCUCGGGAACAGUCACUCGGCGAGAGCUGUCCGCUGCGCGCUAAGCCUUCUGUGCCCCUGACCCUGCUCAGCCGCGGCAGCCUGAACCUGGGCCCGAACCUGGGCCCGGCCUCGCCGGCACCCCGCCGGGUCCGUCCACCCGCAGGCAAUGCCACCGGCACCCCGCCGGGUCCGUCCACCCACAGGCAAUGCCUAGAGUAGCAUCGUCACAAAUAAGCCCUAAGUAAAAAGAUAAUGGCUCAUCAGAACAAAGAGAAGGCAGACUUUGGAUCCGAAGGUGUCUGAGCCGCCACUGUUUUCCUUGAUUCCCCGGGGCUAGAAAAUAAAUGCAAUUCAAACGUGAAGUUUGCUCCAAUUCACUGGCUAGGCCGGAAAUCAUGAAGUUGAAACCCUAGCCUCGAGCCGCGUCUUUGCAAAACGACUCAAAGGAACAAUAGCCAGCUUUUCAAUGACUCUCUGGGGUGCGAAGUUUCUUUGUCUACUAAGGACAUUGCUGGAGGCGACCAAGGUGAUGAGGGACUCCAGCCAGUGGAGACACAGACAAAAUCCCGGUUUCUGCUUCACCCUCUGCCUUUGCACAGACAGGAGACACAGCCGGUCCAAGCAGAAGAGAAGCAGAGACACGGGGCCCAGCAGGCCGACGGGAAAGCCUGGGGCGAGGGGCGAGGACCACCCACGCCUGCCUCCUUCCUGGGAGGCUGAGCCUGGGCCCCGCCCACAGCUCCUGGAAGGCAGCGCGCUGUCCCUCUCCCCGUCACAGAGACAGAAAAAGGGGACUGCCUUUUUUUUUUUUAAUCUUUUUUCUUUCAACGUUUAUUUAUUUUGGGGACAGAGAGAGACAGAGCAUGA
Molecule: long non-coding RNA, 3080 nt
Organism: Felis catus (domestic cat)
Lineage: Eukaryota; Metazoa; Chordata; Mammalia; Carnivora; Felidae
Exons: 4
Source: RefSeq, a predicted model, not a curated record